This 329-nucleotide unclassified non-coding RNA is filed under the name soil metagenome. RNAcentral describes it as "partial contains 5.8S ribosomal RNA, internal transcribed spacer 2, and large subunit ribosomal RNA". The stretch from base 1 to 120 matches the Rfam family "5.8S ribosomal RNA", at positions 35 to 154 of the family's 154-position model. The record is from RNAcentral.
GAUGAAGAACGUAGCGAAAUGCGAUAAGUAAUGUGAAUUGCAGAAUUCAGUGAAUCAUCGAAUCUUUGAACGCACAUUGCGCCCCCUGGUAUUCCGGGGGGCAUGCCUGUCCGAGCGUCAUUACAACCCUCAAGCUCAGCUUGGUGUUGGGCCCCGCCGCCCCGGCGGGCCCUAAAGUCAGUGGCGGUGCCGUCCGGCUCCGAGCGUAGUAAUUCUUCUCGCUCUGGAGGUCCGGUCGUGUGCUCGCCAGCAACCCCCAAUUUUUUUCAGGUUGACCUCGGAUCAGGUAGGGAUACCCGCUGAACGUAAGCAUAUCAAUAAGCGGAGGA